RNAcentral lists this ribosomal RNA (253 nucleotides) under uncultured bacterium. RNAcentral's name for it is "partial 16S ribosomal RNA". It matches the Rfam family "Bacterial small subunit ribosomal RNA", at positions 524 to 776 of the family's 1533-position model. The record is from RNAcentral.
UACGAAGGGGGCUAGCGUUGCUCGGAAUCACUGGGCGUAAAGCGCUCGUAGGCGGGUUGCUAAGUCAGGGGUGAAAUCCUGGAGCUCAACUCCAGAACUGCCCUUGAUACUGGCGGUCUCGAGUCCGGGAGAGGUGAGUGGAACUGCGAGUGUAGAGGUGAAAUUCGUAGAUAUUCGCAAGAACACCAGUGGCGAAGGCGGCUCACUGGCCCGGUACUGACGCUGAGGUGCGAAAGCGUGGGGAGCAAACAGG